CGGGAACGUCGCCGACGGUCGUGAUGUGACGCGGUUACUAAAGAAGAUGUGGUGAACACUCGCCUCCUCCAGAGCUUUCCACAGCUCCUCGUCAGAGUGCCGGCCGAAGGGAUCCAGGUUCUUCCUCAGCGUGUCGAAUAUUUCUCUACCGCCCUCUUGUGGUCGCAGCUGAUAAUGAUCCAUCUAGCAAGCAAAUGCUAAGAUGACGUUCGGCGUCCAAACAACAAUGAGAAGAAUGAUGGAUGAAAAAGCCAAAUUUCUAAACAAAUCAAAUCAUAAAAACGCUGAUGAAUGCAGAAUACAGACCACUUCUGUACAACCAAGAAACUUUUCAUGUCUGGAGAAACCGUUGAAGCUCCAUCAGAACCCAAACUGCAGCGAGUUCAGAUCUGAACCAGAACCUUGACUCGACUCAAACCAGCCGACACUCUCCCGCUGGAAACCUCGCCCUCCAUGUCUGCUGGUGGCGCAUUCAUGUUUCACUGGAAAACGCCAGACUCUCUGAGAAGAUGACGAAUUUCUCCAGAAACCUCUAGGAUUCCCUGAACUCGUUUGUCCAGACCAGAACUUUGUCAUGUUGACACAGAGUGCUGCAUUAGACACCAGACAGAUAAAACACUGUUUUUAAAUCAAUCAGAUUAAUGUGUUUUUGCUCCACUUGGGGCUGUAUAUUUACACUUUUAAAACUUGUUGGGAGUUUUUCAGUUCUUCCAGCUUCAACUGAGAAGCUGAGUUGAUGCUUCUGAGUACGAUUCGCAUAUUUAAAAGCGAAUCGUGUCGAAUUUCCAGCACCAGGCUCACUUAUAGAAGUGAGGAUUUUUCUGUCCUAAUUUGAAAAUGAAAUGAGAAAAAAACUGGAAACAAAAACAAGAUAAAAAAAAACACAGAAGGUGCAAAAAACCUGCAGCAGCCUCAUCUUGUUUAUGUCAGCUAAUGACGUCAUCAUUUACAAUAACAAAUAGCCCAUAAAAGCAUCACUUUGACCCAGAAUCUACCUGUCUGGUUACAUGAUGUCUCCCUCUUGUGGCGGAACCUUGAACUGCAGUACGAAUUCAUGAGAGAAAAGUGACAUUCCUGCAACAACAGACAACUUUAGCAUCAAAAUACACAAAAUAUAUCAAAGAAGGAUGUGAGACUGUAUGAAAUG
This is a long non-coding RNA of Xiphophorus maculatus (southern platyfish), 1147 nucleotides long. RefSeq lists it as uncharacterized. Lineage: Eukaryota; Metazoa; Chordata; Actinopteri; Cyprinodontiformes; Poeciliidae. The transcript is spliced from 4 exons. The record is from RefSeq and is a predicted model, not a curated record.